Long non-coding RNA from Alligator mississippiensis (American alligator), 395 nucleotides. RefSeq lists it as uncharacterized. The transcript is spliced from 2 exons. NCBI's taxonomy places the organism in Eukaryota, Metazoa, Chordata, Crocodylia, Alligatoridae. The record is from RefSeq and is a predicted model, not a curated record.
AAUCUCCGUCGCCUAUUCUGGCAGCAGAAUCAUGCUCUUCAAGACUGCUGAAAAAUAGGAAUCACAAUUCCCACCAUUCAGCUCCAUCUGGAAGCAGUUGUGACCAGCUGAAACCUGAGAUCCUACCCCUACCUUUGUUUCAAGGUAAUUUCCAUCAUCACAGAUCCUCACAGGAGGUGAGAGGCUCCGUACCAGCUAUGUACUGACUCCCCAGAGUUUUCCGUCUAUUGACUCCUCUGUGAAAUCCUAUGAAAUAUGAACUUUCAUUUCUACCCAGGAGAACUUUGACAAUCCUUUCUCCAAUGCCUGAUGAAGGGUGUUUGUGCCCAAAAGUUUGCAAUUAAAGAAUUUUUUUUGCAAAAAUCUUGUUGGUUUAAUAAAAGAUAUCAACUCUA